GCCUGGGUGGCUCAGUUGGUUAAGCAUCUGACUUCGGUUCAGGUCAUGAUCUCGCGGUCCGUGAGUUCGAGCCCCACGUCGGGCU
This 85-nucleotide transfer RNA is filed under the name Felis catus (domestic cat). It matches the Rfam family "tRNA". From Rfam's summary of the family: Transfer RNA (tRNA) molecules are approximately 80 nucleotides in length. Their secondary structure includes four short double-helical elements and three loops (D, anti-codon, and T loops). Further hydrogen bonds mediate the characteristic L-shaped molecular structure. tRNAs have two regions of fundamental functional importance: the anti-codon, which is responsible for specific mRNA codon recognition, and the 3' end, to which the tRNAs corresponding amino acid is attached (by aminoacyl-tRNA synthetases). tRNAs cope with the degeneracy of the genetic code in two manners: having more than one tRNA (with a specific anti-codon) for a particular amino acid; and 'wobble' base-pairing, i.e. permitting non-standard base-pairing at the 3rd anti-codon position. Lineage: Eukaryota; Metazoa; Chordata; Mammalia; Carnivora; Felidae. The record is from Rfam by way of RNAcentral.